Molecule: ribosomal RNA, 460 nt
Filed under: uncultured bacterium
Lineage: Bacteria
Description: partial 16S ribosomal RNA
Rfam family: Bacterial small subunit ribosomal RNA
Source: RNAcentral
CCUACGGGUGGCAGCAGUGAGGAAUAUUGCACAAUGGGCGCAAGCCUGAACCAGCCAAGUAGCGUGAGGGAUGACUGCCCUACGGGUUUUAAACUUCUUUUAUAAGGGAAUAAAGUGAGGCACGUGUGCCUUUUUGUCUGUACUUUAUGAAUAAGGAUCGGCUAACUACGUGCCAGCAGCCGCGGUAAUACGGAGGAACCGGGCGUUAUCCGGAUUUAUUGGGUUUAAAGGGAGCGUAGAGGGGUUGUUAAGUCAGUUGUGAAAGUUUACGGCUCAACCGUAAAAUUGCAAUUGAUACUGGCAGUCUUGAGUACAGUGGAGGUAGGCGGAAUUCGUGGUGUAGCGGUGAAAUGCGUAGAUAUUACGAAGAACUCCGAUUGCGAAGGCAGCUUACUAAACUGCCACUGACAUUGAUGCUCGAAAGUGUGGGUAUCAAACAGGAUUAGAUACCCUUGUAGUC